Long non-coding RNA from Capsicum annuum, 573 nucleotides. RefSeq lists it as uncharacterized. The record is from RefSeq and is a predicted model, not a curated record. The transcript has 4 exons. Lineage: Eukaryota; Viridiplantae; Streptophyta; Magnoliopsida; Solanales; Solanaceae.
UCCAAGCAAAAUAAAGAAAAAAGAUUAAAAAAAAACUAGAGAAAUGGAAAGUUGACUAUCAGCUAGAAUGGUCUAGAAAGGGAAAGGUCUUGACGGAGCCAUCCAUCAUCGGAGCUCCGAUCGACUUCCCCAUUCUACCGCAGACUUUUACCUUCCUUCUAUUCCACUCUCCCGUAGUUCCAUCAAUCACACGACCACUCUAAUUUCUUGUUUUUUUCUCCAACUAUUAUUUUCACUUAAGGUUCUGGAGUUUUCUUUAAUGGCAAUGAAGCAGCUCCAAUUUGAGUAGCAUCUACAAUCUAUCACCAGAUUUACAUAAAAUUCAGUCACCAUUUAGUCCUCUGGAUAUACGACUCGCCCACGUACCAAAGAUGCUCUCAGUUCUAAUGAAUGAGUGGACACCGAUGACCUUCCACAUGUCUUUUAAGGUUGAUCAUAGACGAGCUUAUAAUUGGGAAAUCAUGCUUUCUAAGGUGAAAAUACCACUGCAUGACAUGAUGAGGCUAUUGUGCAACAUGCCCAGUAAUGGUCCCAAUUCAUGUUUGUGCGGAGUGACACAUUUUGAGGUAGGAC